Molecule: small RNA, 124 nt
Filed under: Marmota monax (woodchuck)
Lineage: Eukaryota; Metazoa; Chordata; Mammalia; Rodentia; Sciuridae
Source: RNAcentral
GCCGGGUGUGGUGAUGCACACCUGUAACCCUAGCAACUUUGGGAGGCUGAGGCAGGAGGAUCUUAAAUUCAAGGCCAGCCUCAGCAACUUAGGCCCUCAGCAACUUACCAAGACCCUGUCUUAA